RNAcentral lists this ribosomal RNA (247 nucleotides) under uncultured bacterium. Its description in RNAcentral is "partial 16S ribosomal RNA". It matches the Rfam family "Bacterial small subunit ribosomal RNA", at positions 527 to 772 of the family's 1533-position model. The record is from RNAcentral.
GUAGGGGGCAAGCGUUAUCCGGAAUUACUGGGUGUAAAGGGAGCGUAGACGGCAAUGCAAGUCCGGAGUGGAAUGCGGCAGCUCAACUGCCGAACUGCUCUGGAAACUGUAUGGCUUGAGUGCAGGAGGGGUAAGCGGAAUUCCUGGUGUAGCGGUGAAAAUGCGUAGAUAUCAGGAGGAACACCGGUGGCGAAGGCGGCUUACUGGACUGUAACUGACGUUGAGGCUCGAAAGCGUGGGGAGCAAA